Molecule: long non-coding RNA, 33271 nt
Filed under: Zea mays
Lineage: Eukaryota; Viridiplantae; Streptophyta; Magnoliopsida; Poales; Poaceae
Description: long non-coding RNA (ZMAY_LNC004947)
Source: RNAcentral
GCAAUUGGCCCAGUUGGCCCAAUUGUAGUCGGACAGCGACCGUGUGAGCCUCAGAAUUAUCCCACCUCGCUUAACUUGGGAGGAGGAAGCCACUUUAAAAGGGAGAGCCACCCUUCCCCCAUUGGACUAGUCUUUUCGGGCGAUUGGGCCUUUCCCUGAGUUGGGUGUGCUUGAUGAACUGUUGGGUGUAACAUCCCAAAAUCCUAACCUAGGUUUGAAACCCUAAACUACCCCUCUCCCCUUUUUCAUCCUCUAAUUCCAAGAACUCCCUUAGAUUUUCUUUCAUCAUAUGCAUACACUUUGUUUGAUCACAAGCACCUCACUUAGAUUUUAUUUUUCAGCACCUAAGAUUAUCUAUUAAAAUUUAUUGUUCAAAAGAAAAAGAUAUAAAAAUGGAUAAAGGAAUUAGAAAAUAAAAAGAAAAAGAGAAAACUUGUGGUGGAACAGCCCGAAUUAUUCCAGCUUAAGUGCCCAAGUCGCACCCUUAAGGGCAGCAACACACUUAAACGGGAAUAACCCGUCAGUCCCUCGGAUCUAGUCCGAUAAAGCCAAUUAUCCAGGAUCGAAUACCACUAGCUCACUCGAAGGUGAGGCACAGAGAAAUAUAAUAAAACAUAAUACCACAAUUUAAUAACUCUCAUUAGUGAUUACAUUAUCGGUGUUUCAGAAAUGAUAACCAUAAAUUUUAAUGCAGCGGAAAUAACUAACGGAGAAAACCGAGUAACAUGGCGAAGCCUGGCCACGCUACUCCUUCUGGUCCUCUCCUGCGGAAGCAAUAACCCACUCGACCGUCUAUCCCGGUGGCAGGGAUGAAGGCCAAGUCACGCCAUCAACCAAUCAUCCUUAGGAGUACCUGCAAAAAUUAUGCCACAAGCAAGGCUGAGUAUACUAAUACUCAGCUAGACUUACCCGGUGUGAGGAGUCUACUCCUCUACCUCUAGACAUGCAGCUGUUUGGCUGAGGGGUUUGGUUUGCCAAAAGCACUAGCUGAGUCUAAAAUCAAGUUUUAGCUUUUCAAGUUUUAAUAUGAUCCUUUUUAAACUAGAUGAGUACCUAGCUAUUCAUACAUGGUACCAAACAUUAUAUCAAUCAACAUCUUUUUGCUAGUCACCUCAUUUUCAUUUAUUACUCAAUGCAGUACAAUGGAUCAAGCAGUCUCAUUAGCUGCGAGAAGCAGACGAUUCGAAUCGAGUUUUUAUCCUUGCAAGGUAAACCUAAACACACGACAUGUAGGGGCACUCCGUCCCCACACACAUCAACCGUCCCCAUCGAUUCCCCGUCAGCAGAUCAGGGCUCACCGCCUUGGCGUACAAUGCCUCACUGACCCCGACUGCCGUCGUGCAGUGACCGCACUUGUACCCACCAUAACCGGAAUGGGAGACCACGUCUCAGGUCGCGUGAGGGGUAAAGUCCACUGCCAGGUUCAAUCAGGUACUAGACUUACCGAUUUACCAUAUUUCUCAGCAUGUGCUUAGUACGUUCAAACACUUGACACAGGUAUCCGCGCGUUAAUCCUUAUUCCAAUUUCCGUGUCGUAGACCACGCGUCCCCAUGGACCCGUGUCCACAGACCAUCAUCAUUCUGUUAUCAAAGUGGAUACAACCAAUUCCUGACCUCGCGCGAGUGCUAGAAAAAUCACUCGACUUCUAUCGAGAUCCCUAAUUAGCAAAGCAGCUACUCGACCUAGCAUACUAGUAUCCAUCUCAAAAAGGAAUCCUGAGUUCAUGCAACUAGGGUUUCAACCAACUCCUACACUUAAGUGCACGGUACAAGCCUACAAACAUUAAGUGUAGUAAAAUAGCAUAUAUAAACGGUUAUGCAUAAAACCGGGGCUUGCCUUUAAUUUAACACUUAGAUAGUGUUUGCUGGGGUGGGUACUCGCUUGGCGAGCAUCCACUGGGUAAGUCCACCAUUCUUUAGGUCGUCCACCAACUGCAUCUUGUGGUUGGCACCACAUCACUGGCUCGAUCAUCGUCCCUCGGUCCUAAAUGAGAUGCAAUAUGCAUAUGUAUGAAUAUAAUGAAAUAGCACAAGAUACUUUAAGUACAUGCUAGCGAAUUAAACACUAAGUAGCGAGACAUCACAAGCAACCACACCCACUAGCGUUAGCUAACUACAUAUCGUCGAGCGCACAACAUUACACCACUAAAAAGACGACAAACAUUUUGGAUAUUUACGCAACACAAUACUACAUCACAAUUAACUAGAGAAAGAAACGUAUAAAAACAUGACACGUAUGUUAUCUCAAGCUUAGCCAUGGCAAUUCUAUAUGAAUUUAGUGCUAACCAACCAUUUUUAGCCAAAAGGGUGAACUAACAAUUAAUUGAGCACAUGCAGAUUUUUAGGACAGCAGCACAGCAGUUAUUAGUUUUAAUCAUAUCUCUUCAAAUAUUCAUCCAAAAAUAGCAAACUAGGAUUUUCUGGAAAGCUUAAAAAGUGAACUAUAACUUUGGUAUUUUCACCUCAACCUGAUUCAACACAUAGCAAGGUCAAAAAGUGCAAUCACAGCAGCUCUGUCCAGAUUUGGACAGAUUCAGACUUGCAACUUCAAAAAUUCACAACUAGAGAUUCAGACAUCCAAAUAAGUUGAUCCUAGACUUUCUGGAAAGGUAAUAAAAUUGUCUACAUAUCAUUUAUAAACAUCUCAAGGUGAUUCAAUAUUUAACUAAGGAUAAACAUCACUAAAAGACUUUGCUGUCCAUAACUGGACAGAUUCAGUCUUCCUAUUUGAAACAUUCAUAACUUAAUAUUCAGACCACCAAAAAUAGUGAUCCAAGACUUUUUGGAAAGCUUGGCAAAAGCACUACAUAACUUUUGUAAUCACCAAGAAGUGAUUCCAGGUUUAAUCAAAUCAAACAUUACAGUUUUCGAAAUCUGUUCAGACAGAGGACAGAACAAAACAACCAGUUUGUAAAUUUCAUAACUCUUAAACUGUCAGGCCUAUGGUUAUGAAAUUUUAACACAAGCAAGAUGAGAAAAGCAUCUACAACUUUCUUAUAACGACCAUGAACAGGUUGCAACAUUAAUUUGAGCAAAAAAUGCAGUUUCUGAAAUCUGUACAUAAUUUGGACAGAUUCAGUUACUGAAUUUGUGAACAGCAUAACUCCUAAACUGUCACACCUAUGGCUGUCAAAUUUUAACACCAGCAAGAUAAUAAAGUUAUCUACCACUUUUCUAUAGCACAUAUCUACAGAAAACACCAUUUAGUUCAUCAAACAUACAGUACAGGGAAAUCGCUGCGUGCAGUUCAAAACAGUAACUACUAAAUUUCAGCUCCUAUACAAUUCAAGAAUCGCUGCGUUCGAGAGACUUGAAUUACUCUAACGCUUUACUAUUUAUUCGAGUUAAGACAAUCAAUUAGAACCAACAAGUCGACUUGCAAAUUUUAUUCAAGUCAUUUAGUGCACUAAAAUUACUACAAUCAAUUAACAACGCAUUCUUCACGACAAUCACUCAACAAUUUGCGUUUUAAAUUAGACAUCACAUGAGCACUACUACUUUUCAUCCGCGACCAUAAACAUACACAUUUAGACUACAAUAAGAAAAUCAUCGUGACUACGAGCUUAACCAAGUCAUCUAAAAUUCGGCUAACUAGCGCAACAACAUAGGCCGCUAUACAUCCUACACGUCGGCUUGCCUCUUAUCAUCGCAAUCCGAGACAACACAUAUAUAACAAACACUUAACGAAAUCGACUCCUAUUUAACAUGAGUUGGCUAAUCACAGUAGAAGACCUAGCGAACCAUUUUAGACAUCGUAACUCAAGAACAUGGGUUGGAGCCGAUUGAUCAAUGUUUCUCAACCAUUGCUCAACUUAAAUUAGUUAACACACAAGUCACCUAAAUAGCAUAUUUUUGGGGUCUAUCGUGGAGGCAUUUACACAUGGUGUAAAACUUCAUAAGACUUACAUUGGCUACUAAAGAACCUAAAGCACUUAUGUGCAUAUGUUAUCGAAUUGUUCUUCAAUUUUAUCAAGGACGGACUCAUGAACGCUACUCACCUCCAAUAAUUAUUGGGCUGCGAUAACACUCAUAUUAGACCUCCAAUCGAUCAACAAGACAUUUAUUUAUCCAAAGGGAAUGGAAUGCAAUAAUUGACCAAGCAAGGCAUCGAUCCGCCAUACAAUAGAAAGCAUGACGACACCGACAGAUGCUAUCAACCAAUCGUUUUAAAAUAUUAAACUUACUUCUCGCUUGCCAUUACAUCACUCCUAAAUCACACGAUCAUCAUGAGCAUCCUUCACACGAUUAUAUAAUAGCAAUUUAAGCGUCAUGUUACACCAUACAUACAUCUUUCCUCGUUGCGAGUAUAACCAUAAUGCGGCAUAUACUCGCACACCUCAACAAAUAUCUUACGCCACCACUACUUUAUCACACCACGGCACACACACACCUACGUGCACUAAUUAAAUCCUCGCAUCCCAUGUAUUUCCAAUUUACCUAUCACAUUAAACAACGCAACAUGUUUGCUUACCAAAACGUGAAGGCAACCUUGCUACGACAUAUAACCAAAACAUUUUAUACCCACACACACUCCAACACCAAUGUACACCAUAUCGAUAAAAAUAUAAUUAUACAAACUACAAAUCGCACACAUCAAACAACACAUCGCAUAAAUUCCUAUUGAAAUAUAAAAACAUUCGAGUUAUUUUCUACUUCUUUUUCUUUCGCCACAAACUUCAAUCCAUACCAAUACAAUUUUUAAACAUGCACCACCUCGACCAAAACAUAAUUAGACAACUACAAAUCGCAUACAACACAUAACCUUUUGUUCUCCAAUCGCAAACACGAUCCUACCAAUGCGCAUAACCAAAACAUUUUACACACAUCCAUUCAAAUUAAUUAAACGAGUCGAUCGAGAGCGACAUGCAUCGGCUCACCAUAAACAAACCCAAUCGGUGUUUGUAAGGACGAUGGCGAUUCCGACUUGUGCAUCGCUCCGAACAUCGACGAGCGUCGAGCGGCUUGCCUUCUUCUCCACGCAAAACACGGGAUUCCUCUCCUCCACAAAACAAAAAUAAAACAGCACACAUACACAAUUAAUCAUAUGAAGAUAACGCCGAUGCGGAAUCAAACAAGGAUUGUCGUGGUCUCGCCGGGUGAACGACGACGACGACGGGGCUGCGCAAAAACAACAAACACCUGAUGGGCAUCCUGGCGUGUUGUUCGCUGCGCAGCACAAAGCAGCGAGCCGCGCGGCGACGUCGGGGCUGCUGCACAUUUUGCCGAGCACCCAGCAAGCAUCAACGGUGCAGGCGCAGCAACACACACGCAGGAAGGAAACCGAGUCGCAAGGCAUGGAGGGAAUGCUCCAUGGCAUCUGCUGCAGCGCGCCAUGGGAGAGGGCUGCGUCUGCGAGGAGAGGCGGGGCAAGCUGCUGCUGUGUCCUGCCGUGAGGGGAAAUGGAGCUGAGCUCCCUGUUUGCUGCGCGCCGUGGACAGCAGGGGAGGAAGAAGACCCGGUUGCUGUUGCUGGGCGCCGGCCAUAGUGCUCCCUGCACGCAGGGGGAAAAAAGAAAUGGAGCAGGGAGGGCGCCAAGGCAGAGGGGAAACUGCAGGGGGUGGCGCCAUGGGGAGGAGUGGAGCUCGAGCGCCGACCAUGGAGGAGAGUAGGGCGUCGGCGUGCUCCCAGGGAACUCGGCCAUGGCUGGACUCGGCUGCCAAGGAAAAGGAGAGAGCAGGGGGCGCCAUGGGAAGCUCCAAGUAGGGGGAAGAAGGGAGAGGGGCGCCAUGGGUGGGAGCUCGGCUAGAGCAGGGGCUCGGCCAUCCUGCGUGGAGGAGGGAGGAAGUUCCCUGCGCUGGCUGCUGCUGCCGUGAGCAGCGAGGAAGAAGGCAGGGAGUAUGGCUGGUGGCGGCUAGGGAAAAAAUGGAAGGUGGGAGUGCAAAAUAGCCCAAGUGCAAGGGAAGGGCACCCCUAUUUAUAGAAGAUGGCUAGGGUUAGGGUUUCCUUAGUGGGCCAAAUGGGCUGGGUUGGGCUGGUCCAAACACGUUAUCGCUCUGCGCUAAUUUAUUUUCCGGAAUAAAAAUGCUCUCGCGAAAUUCGUCGCUACGGAAAAACAGAGCGAAAAGAGUUCGGACGAACGGAAGGUUGAGCGAUUAAUUCGGCCGAGAGUUUGACUUGAAUUCGCUCGGAAAUAAUUCCCUACGCGUGGUUCGAAAAUAAAUCGUCCCGAGAUACGACCGGCUUUCAGAUUUAUGAUUGAAAGAGAUGAAUCGCGACAUUUAAAAAUCAUCGCCGAUGUUGAUUUUUAAUUCGGGAUCGAACACAGAGGUAUGAGUCGAGUCGGAUAAGAAUUAAUUAGAGGGCGACGUACUGAGUAUCCCGUUUGAGAAAGCGGAUCCGAAUAAUUUAGUCGAACAUAGAUCAAGGUUCGAAAAAUUAGGCUCGGGCUCAGAUCAAAUAACGGUCAUCGAGAGUUUGAUUAAAUGAGCUUCAGAUGAGUUUUAUAAUUCGAGAAUGAUUUAUCGAGUUCGUAUUCGUGUCGAGAAUUAACAGUUUUAUCAGGCUCCAAAUUCGGCAUUCGUCGAGAUCGAAUAGCUCCGAACUCGGUGAAGUAUUUACGAUUAACUUGAUGAAAGAAGAUAAAUGUGAUAAGAAGAUAGAAAUUUUUACUGAGCGUCCGAGAUUAGGACAAACCUCCCGACAGAACACGAAACUGACACCUGGGGUGUCACAGCCUUCCCCCCUUAAAAAGAAUCUCAUCCCGAGAUUCGAAUGAGGAUCUUCAAGGGUGGAGAAACAUGUAACUCACAGGCUGGAGAUAGAUGCAAAUUCAUGAGAUGGGAUCUGACAAGAUACUGAAAAUAGAUUUGGGUAGAAUAUCGCGGCAUGUUGAGACAAAAUGCAGCGAUCACUCUGAGAGGAUGUUCACAAAAGAGAGCACAUCGGUGUAGUCUUAUAAUGGAUCACAACUAUUAACCCUGAUACCAGCGCGUGCCGAGCAGCUCAACCAUGUGUGCACCAUAGUAGGCUCUCGGUUUCGUCGCGGCACCAUCGGUCGUUAGUCAUAACACCAUUACCAAACGCAACCAAUAAGAAAUUCACAUAGCACAGAUAGAUGGAGCCCAUGAGAGUAUGGCUCAGAAAUUAAGGAUGUGACCGGAGUUGAAGCAGAGAUUGUUGGCAAAAGAGCAUCAGAUGAGAAUUUUUAUUUAACUCAGAGAACCAUUUUAUGAUCAACAUGGAGAUUAUCAGAUCAGAUAUUAGCACGAGAUUUGAUAUGAGGAUGAACCGACCAUGAGAUCAAAAUAGAUUGUUGAGCUUUUAGAGACAUGAGAGAACCAAGGACAACAAUGAAAUCCAUUGAACUAAAUGGAUACACAUAUUAGAGAUAAGUUGAUAAAAUGACGUCAUGAUCCUUGGAGGAAGAGCAUGAGAUCGACCAGAAUUGAGAGAUUUAGGCAAGAUCAACAUCCGAUACUUGAGAACGGGUUAUAGCGGAUAACCAGAUAACGGGGCAAAAUCAUUAAAGGAUCCAGGGAUUCGGAUGAUAAAGCCACAACAUGAUUCACAAGGAAAGAGAUCACCAGACCCAUGCGAAAGGAGAGGUAGGCAAACAGGAUCGGCUAGGAUGAUCAAUAGAAAUGUUAUGAAGUUUCGGGAUGGGAUCUAUGGAAAGAAACAUGGCCUUGAUAGGGUUUGCACAACUAGACACCAAACAACAAUUUUUUUUUGACAUAACCACGUGCACAAGGAAGUUUUAUUUUGGCUAGCGGUUAAGCUAUGGGGGUCUACAAGUUGUGCAGGUUUAACUUCAAAGGUAAAACACUCAAGGGGGCUAGAAAAUACCAACACAAGCAGGAUUUUUUUUAGAGGUUUCUCUUGCUAAACUCAAGGUUGUUUGGACGGAGGGUCUUUUCAUGAGCGAAACAAAGAACAUUUUUUUUGCAACAAGGGUUGAGCAACUAAAACAUUUCAUAGAUAGCCAGACAAGAGAAGCACAUACACAACCUAGUCAAGGCUAUCAUGACACACAUGAUAAGACAUUUUUUUCUUUGCAGUUCAUAGCAAUACAUCACAUUAUUCACAAAUUUUUUUUAGGAAUAAAGGUGAGAGAAGCAUGUUGAUGCACAAUAGACAAUUAUGAUGCAACAAUCAUGAUGCAUGCAUGCUCAUUCUAGUCGUCUUCUCAGACCUAACUAAUUUUUGGGGUGCUUCUAUAGCAUCCUUAUUAAUAGUAAUAGUAGCCUUUAUGGCCUAAAUAACUAGCCACCUAGCUACCCAUCUAUUCCUAUGGCUUCACGUCCUAAAUCUAUCCGUAUCGUCCUGACAUCUAUCCAACAUUGGUUUCUAGCAAGUUUUACUUUAUAAAAGGUUGGCAUUUAUGACUUAUUGACUUCUCUGUAAUGGUAUUCGCUCCGAUACCAGCUGUGGUGGAACCGCCCGAAUUAUUCCAGCUUAAGUGCCCAAGUCGCACCCUUAAGGGCAGCAACACACUUAAAUGGGAAUAACCCGUCAGUCCCUCGGAUCUACUCCGAUAAAGCCACUUAUCCAGGAUCGAAUACCACUAGCUCACUCGAAGGUGAGGCACAGAGAAAUAUAAUAAAACAUAAUACCACAAUUUAAUAACUCUCAUUAGUGAUUACAUUAUCGGAGUUUCAGAAAUGAUAACCAUAAAUUUUAAUGCAGCGGAAAUAACUAACGGAGAAAACCGAGUAACAUGGCGAAGCCUGGCCACGCUACUCCUUCUGGUCCUCUCCUGCGGAAGCAAUAACCCACUCGACCGUCUAUCCCGGUGGCAGGGAUGAAGGCCAAGUCACGCCAUCAACCAAUCAUCCUAAGGAGUACCUGCAAAAAUUAUGCCACAAGCAAGGCUGAGUAUACUAAUACUCAGCUAGACUUACCCGGUGUGAGGAGUCUACUCCUCUACCUCUAGACAUGCAGUUGUUUGGCAGAGGGGUUUGGUUUGCCAAAAGCACUAGCUGAGUCUAAAAUCAAGUUUUAGCUUUUCAAGUUUUAAUAUGAUCCUUUUUAAACUAGAUGAGUACCUAGCUAUUCAUACAUGGUACCAAACAUUAUAUCAAUCAACAUCUUUUUGCCAGUCACCUCAUUUUCAUUUAUUACUCAAUGCAGUACAAUGGAUCAAGCAGUCUCAUUAGCUGCGAGAAGCAGACGAUUCGAAUCUGUUACGAAAAGUAAGCAGUUGUUGACUGCUUUCUAACCAGCAUUUCUCCAAGGGACGUGCCCCUGCACGAUCCCCAUGUACGGACGUGGCUUUUGGCCACUCCUUUAGUGUCUCUUUCCUUUGUAUAAAUAUCAAAAGCAAUAAAGGAUACAGUGCCCCUUUUCAUUUCAUUCUCGCACAGUUUCUACUUUACACGUUAUCAGCACUUGCUUUACAAAAGAGAGAAAAAAAAGCCAAAACAAGAACAGCGGAGGCAAGGAGUUCUUCAUCAAAAGAAAAACAGUCGGGUACGCUAUGAUCUACAAAGAUCUUUCUGUUGCCCUCCUUCCUUCAUCCUUCGGUUUUUGAACGGUGGCCAUCGUCGCCGGCGAGGCGCUGACUUUGCCGCACGUCGUCUUCUACGUGCUGCGCAUCGACAUGGUCGCCACCAUGCCAAGAAGCGCAGCAAGAAGGACGCCCAGGCCACACUUGACCCUGAGCGCGUCCGUCGGACCGGGGGUGAUCCUGGCGCUGGUCCCAGCAACGUUGCGGCACCUGCUGCACCGCCGCAGCAACCGCCAGCGCCACGCCAAGACCGAUGGGUGCGUCCUCCAUCGCCUUCGCCGGAGCGGGUUGCAGAGCGGUUGCGUGAGUCCGAGACCCAGCAGCCGCUCCGUCCAAUGCGGUACUGCCCCCUCCAUGGAUGGGGGCCGUGUCCUGCUCGCCAACCGCGGGCUCCUCCAACGGAUGCAGACACCGCCGCCCCCGCUGUUCGAUCGAGCGGACUGCUCGUUCAAGUCACCUCUCCAGCGCGCCCUCGUGCCCGGACACGGCUGACUGCGCGGAAAUCAACCGGCCCUCGCGGUCGCCCCGUCGGCCAGAUCGCAUCCACGUCCACUGCGGCGGUUGCCGUCGACGCCACCUCUUCCUCCUCCGACGAUGAGAGGAUCGCCUUAGUCCUCGGCGACGGGGUGCAGCAGCGACUGCCUACUCCGACUCCCGACGAUGGCCCAUCCGGAACGGUCUCACCGCCGGCGCUCUUGAGCCCAAGCGGCAACAGAGUGGUCCGUCGGCUCGUGCACCACCUUUCCCCACGGCCAAGUGCUCCGGGGUCGUGGUCUGCAACCGCAAGACCGUCCGACGACGACGUCCGUGAGCGCUCGCGCUCGCCGCCUCGUCGUCUUCCAUGAGUGUGGCCUCGCUCGGCCACGGCGUGCUCGGCCCUGCGCGCGUGGACCGCCCCGGCAGCAGGCGGCGCGGCCUCGGCAGGGCCCACGGCGACUCGCCCUGGCCUGCGCGGCUCGCCCGUCCCGGCAGCAGGCGGCGCGGCCUCGGCAGGGCCCGCGACGGCUCGCCCUGGCCUGCGCGGCUCUGCCCGCCCCGGCAGCAGGCGGCGCGGCCUCGGCAGGGCCCGCGGCGGCUCGCCCUGGCCUGCGCGGCUCUGCCCGCCCCGGCAGCAGGCGGCGCGGCCUUGGCAGGGCCCGCGGCGGCUCUCCCUGACCUGCGCGGCUCGCCCGCCCCGGCAGCAGGCGGCGCGGCUGCUUGCCCGGCGCCCGGCAGCUCGCAGCCCGGCCUCGGCAGGGCCCGCGGCUGCUCGCCCGCCUCCGUCACCCGCGGCCGCGCGGAUGCCCUGCGCCCUGACCGACGCGACGGCAGCCCUGGCCUGCGAGGAUUCUCUGCGACGGACGAGGACGGCGCGGCCUCUGCCCUUGGCGGCUUGCACAGGCAGCGGCGGCUCAUGGGGCAAAACCCUAACUGCCAUCCCUUAAAGAGGCCACGCACGCCCAUAGAUGGGCCGGUUUACUUACCCAUGUCGUAGGCCCAGUUAGCCAUUUUCCUUUUUAUUUUAGCUAUUUUCAGUUUUCUAAAUCCUAGAAAAUUAGAUUGCUUUGAUUAAAGAAGUUUAUAAAUCCUUCAGUAGCAGCUUCUGUCACGAAUUUUUCCAAAGUUUUAGUACUUGGAAAUGGUGUCAAUAAAUAUUUUCUUUACAUGUGAUAUUUAUUGUCAUGUGUUCUAUUUUUUGCAUUCCUUAAAAUGCAAACUCAAAACAAAAAAAUUCAUCUCAAUUUAACCAAAAAGGUUUAAUACGAGCAGAAUUAAUUUUUUUUGAUAGAACAUAUAGAAUAAUUAAUAUUCAUCUCAAUUAAGUUAUUCAAAACUUAAUACGAGCAAGAAUAUUUAUUUAUUUAUUAAAUUCCAUACGCAAUUCUGCUACUCAUAUAUUCAUCUUAUUAAGUUACUAUAGGUACUUAAUUUCAUUUGAAUAUUUUAUUUACUACAUAAUGAAAUUUUCGAUCUCUUGCAUCGCUUUGCAAUUGAGACCUUAAAUUAUCAUUCAUUUAUGCAAUAUCGCAUUAUAUUGCAUAUUUUUCAUCUCAAUUGGAUUUUUCUCUUAAAUCCAAUACGAGCAAGAAUACAUGUAUGUUGUGUACAACACACAUAUUACAACACACCCAUGAUGAUUUCUUAACGAAAUUCUCUGGUUGCUUGUGUAGGAUCAUGGCCCGCGAGUUCGAAGAACUUGCUCUUGAUGGUCACAACUAUCCUACUUGGGCGUUGGAUAUCAAGAUCAGCUUAGCCUCAAAGAAUAUUCUGAGUGCAUUACUCCCUCCCAACGAGAGGGUUGACCCACUGCAUGAUGCUUAUAAGUACAACGCUUUGUACAUUAUAAGACAUCACCUCCAUCCUGAUCUGAAAGUAGAAUAUGUGAUGGAAGAAGAGCCAAAUGUAUUAUGGUUAUCUCUUAAAAACAGAUAUGAGCAGCAAAAGGCUGUAAUCUUACCAGAGGCGAAUCAUGAAUGGACCCAUAUUCGUCUUCAAGACUACAAGUCUAUUGGUGAUUACAACCAUGUUGUUCAUAAGAUCUGUGCUCGCUUGCGUUUCUGCGGCAAGGAACCAUCAGAUGCGGAUAAGAUUGAAAAAACACUUCAGACUAUAAUCCCAUCUGAAAGGGUCCUGCAGCAUCAGUACCGUGCUCGCAAUUAUCAGACUUACUCUGAACUCAUACAUGAUCUACUUCAGGCAGAAAAGCAUGAUGAGCUUACGAUGAAAAAUCAUAAGCAACGUCGUGUUGGAGCUGCUCCUAUGCCUGAAAUACAUCAUGCUGUGAAGAAUGAGAAGAAAGGGGAUGGCCCCAAAAGCCAUCCCAAGAAGUCUGAUAAUUCAAAGAAGCGCAAACGCAACAAGCGUCCGGAUAAGCAAAAUACAAAGGCUCCGAGGAAAGACACCCCCACUUCCAAGCAAGAGAAGUGUAAGAAGUGUGGAUGCUACAACCAUCCUACUAAGAAGUGUCGCAUUCCUCGCCAUUUAGUGGAACUGUACCAGCAAUCUCUUAAGGGCAAAAAUGCUGAAGGACAGGGAUAUGAAGCUCACUUCACUACCCCACCUAACUUGAAGGAUGGAGCUGGUUGCUCAAGCAUGGCUACAAUGGAACCAAGCACGACCAAUCCUCCGCUUCUGACCGACACCGAUCACAUGGACUUGGACAACGCCAUCAUCGAAUAUGCUUCGAGUGAUGUGUUUGGAGACCUCAACUAGGAUCCUUAUGCUCCACCAGAUAUCAUCUAUCUGUAGUCUAUGAGUGUGUGCAACAUGUGUGCUGUAAUAAGUACCUAGACAUUGGUAUUUGUGUGUAUACUCCAUACUCUACUGUAUAACUAUGUAUGUACUUAUAUGUAUAAUUAAUUGAGUUCUUGCAAUUCUUGAUUAUAUAGAUUAUGCGGAAGUCAAUCCAAUGGAGGAAGAAUUAUGCCUUGUAGACAGUGGUACCACCAACUCUAUUCUUCGGGAAACAAAAUAUUUCCAAACUCUCACAAAGAGGUCAGGAAAUAUCUUGACAAUCGCUGGGCGCGAUGCGAAAAUAGUUGGCUCUGGACGAGCGACUAUUACGCUCCCUAUGGGUACACAAGUCACUAUCGAGGAUGCUUUAUUGUAUCCCGAUUCAACUCGUACCCUUCUGAGUUUUCGAGAUAUUCGGAAAAGUGGUUUACAUAUUUCUACUCAUACAGAAAACAAUGAGGAAUUUCUCCUCAUUUCCAAACCUUCUGAAUAUGGCACUAACAUUCUGGAAAGAAUACCUUCACUUCCAUCCGGAUUGUACUACACAUACAUAAAACCAGUACCUCAUGUUACGUACAAAGUGAUUUUUCAGAAUGUAGAUUCAUUCAUGACCUGGCAUGCACGCCUUGGUCACCCUGGAAUAGGGAUGAUGCGGAAAAUCAUAGGUAAUUGCAUCGGUCAUGAUUUAAAGUCUGCCAAAUUUCCUAAACCAUCUGAUUUUAUAUGUACAUCAUGUGCAACGGGAAAGCUAAUCUUAAGACCAUCUCCUCUUAAGAUUCACGCUGAACCACUCAAGUUCCUUGAACGAAUUCAAGGUGACAUUUGUGGACCCAUACAACCAUUAUCUGGACCGUUCAGAUAUUUCAUGGUAUUAAUUGACGCAUCUACACGAUGGUCACACGUGUGCCUUCUGUCUACACGUAACCAUGCCUUUGCUAAAAUCAUGACGCAAGUCAUUCGAUUGAAAGCACAUUAUCCUGAACAUAAAAUCCAGAAAAUCCGCCUAGAUAAUGCGGCUGAAUUCUCUUCUAGAGCAUUCAAUGAUUAUUGUAUGGCCCAAGGAAUACACAUUGAACAUUCUGUGCCUUAUGUACAUACUCAAAAUGGUUUAGCUGAAUCUCUUAUUAAGAGGAUCAAACUUAUCGCAAGACCUUUACUUCAUGAAUGCAAUUUACCUACAUCCUAUUGGGGUCAUGCAGUUUUACACGCUGUUGAUCUUAUUCAACUUCGCCCAACUGCAUAUCAUACAACAUCUCCGUUGCAUCUGGUUCGAGGAAACCCUCCAAAUAUAUCCCAUCUGCGGAAAUUUGGAUGUGCGGUCUACACCCCUGUAUCACCGCCUCAACGAACAGCUAUGGGACCUCAUAGGAAAUUGGGCAUCUAUGUGGGAUAUCAAUCCCCAUCGAUCAUCAAAUACCUAGACCCCCUUACAGGGGAUUUGUACACAGCUCGUUUCGCUGAUUGCAUCUUUAACGAGGACCAUUUCCCGGCAUUAGGGGGAGAAUUCAAGUAUCCUAAUGAAUGCCAGGAAAUCAAUUGGGAUGACAAAUCCAUCCUGUCCUCAGAUCCUCGAACCCAGGAAUCUGAGCUUCAAGUUCAGAAAAUUAUAGAAUUGCAACACUUUGCUAACAAUCUGCCUGAUGCGUUUACUGACUAUAAUGGUGUCACAAAAUCCUUGAAUCCUGCUGUUAAUGCGCCCAGUCGAGUGGAGGUACCACGAAAAACCAUUCAACCAUCUUCUCAACCGAAGAGGGUGAGGGCUGCUAAGCAGGAUAAUGCUUCUACUAAGCGUCAAAGGAAAGAGAGGAACAUUCGAUCCUCCAAAUCAGUAAACAAAAGUCAACCACCAGUUGAUGGACACCAAGUGGAUACUGUACAUCCACAAACCAGCACUCAUGUGCACAAUUCAGAUGUUGCUGGUACAUCGGAACACCCCAUAUCUACUCUUCCUGUAAAUCAAGAAGACUUUCAUGGGGUACAAGAGAUUUCCAUUAAUUAUACUAGUUCUGGAGAAUUGUAUGAUCGUAAAACUACGGUCAUAAAUUCAUGUUUCUCAUCAAUCAUAGCUGGUAACCUUCUAUCUGACCCAGAUCCUAAAUCCAUGGCAGAGUGUCAACAACGCUCGGACUGGAUCAAAUGGAAGGAAGCAAUUAACUCUGAAUUAUCCUCACUAGCAAAAAGAAAGGUAUUCACCUCUGUGAUACCUACACCUCCUAGAAUCCAUCCUGUUGGAUUCAAAUGGGUUUUCACCCGGAAACGGAAUGAGAACAAUGAGGUUAUGAGAUAUAAAGCGAGAUUAGUUGCUCAAGGGUUUACCCAGAGACCAGGAAUUGAUUACAAUGAGACAUAUUCUCCUGUUAUGAAUGGAAUAACUUUCCGAUAUUUAAUUUCAUUGGCAGUACAAAAACGUCUACUUCUGCAGUUGAUGGACGUCGUGACCGCAUAUCUUUAUGGGUCACUAGAUUCGGACAUAUACAUGAAGGUUCCUGAUGGAAUACCUGUACCGAAUAAUGGCAAAAAUCGUAACAUGUUUUGUGUCAAACUCACCAAAUCUCUAUAUGGCUUAAAACAGUCAGGGAGAAUGUGGUACAACCGACUGAAGGAAUUCCUUAUGAAUAAGGGUUAUUCUAACAGUGAUGAUUGCCCAUGUGUCUUUAUAAAGAAAUCUUCUACAGGUUUCUGCAUCAUAUCAGUAUAUGUGGAUGACUUGAACAUCAUCGGCCAUAAACGUGAUAUUGAUGAGGCACGCAAUCUUUUAAAGACGGAAUUUGAGAUGAAGGAUUUGGGUAAAACCAAAUUUUGCUUGGGUUUGCAACUUGAGCACCUUCCCACGGGCAUUCUCAUUCAUCAGUCUGCUUAUGCGCAGAAAGUAUUGAGUAAAUUCAAUAUGGAUAAAGCAUAUCCGUCUAAGACUCCUAUGAUCGUCCGUACCCUAGAAAGGGAUAAGGAUCCUUUUCGACCACGAGUCGAAGGAGAAGAAAUUUUGGGUCCUGAGUACCCAUAUCUUAGUGCAAUUGGAGCACUUAUGUAUCUAGCAAACAAUACAAGGCCCGAUAUUUCCUUUGCGGUAAAUUUACUUGCUAGAUAUAGUGCAUCCCCUACCAAACGCCAUUGGACUGGAAUCAAAAAUAUUCUUCGAUACCUCCAUGGCACGGUAGAUCUCGGUCUAUUCUACGGAAGAAAUCAAGAUCCUAGCCUUGUAGGGUACACAGAUGCUGGUUAUCUUUCAGACCCCCACAAUGGAAGGUCUCAAACUGGGUUUGUAUUUCUGAAUGGUGGAAGUGCUAUUUCUUGGAAGUCAUCCAAGCAAACUCUAGUAACAACAUCCACUAAUCAUUCAGAGAUUAUUGCCUUGUAUGAAGCCUCACGUGAAUGUAUCUGGCUUCGAAGGGUGAUUAAUCACAUUCAAUCAUCAUGUGGGAUUCAUCCCAUUGAAUCACCCACCAUUAUCUAUGAAGAUAAUGCUGCUUGUGUUGCUCAGAUGCAACAAGGUUAUAUCAAGAGCAAUGUCACCAGACAUAUCUCCCCUAAGUUAUUCUACCCUCAUCAACUUCAACAGAGUGGUGAGAUUAAGGUCAUGCAAACUAAGUCUUGUGACAACCUCGCAGACUUUUUCACUAAGUCGCUACCUUAUUCCACAUUUCGGAUAUGUGUUAAGGGUAUUGGUAUGCGUCGACUUAGAGAUUUGCUUGCAUCAGGGGGAGUAUCUCUUGACUAAUCUAAUACUGACAUCACAUUGUACUCUUUUCCUAUAUGAGUUUUACUACCAUGUUUUCUCAUGUUAGGUUUUUAAUGAGGCAAUGUCAACACAAGCAUAUGUCAGUCUCUUGAUUUUUCCCAUCAGGGUUUUUCGACAGAGAUACCAAAGACAUACCAUAUACUGUUGAUUUUCUCCAAAUUUUUCCCACUGGGUUUUUCUGGAGUUUACACAGUAUAUUAUCACAAACCACCUUUUUGCUUACAGGUUUCAAGGGAGAAUAUACAUAAUGGACAACUGCUUAAGGGGGAGUGUUACGAAAAGUAAGCAGUUGUUGACUGCUUUCUAACCGGCAUUUCUCCAAGGGACGUGCCCCUGCACGAUCCCCAUGUACGGACGUGGCUUUUGGCCACUCCUUUAGUGUCUCUUUCCUUUGUAUAAAUAUCAAAAGCAAUAAAGGAUACAGUGCCCCUUUUCAUUUCAUUCUCGCACAGUUUCUACUUUACAGAAUCGAGUUUUUAUCCUUGCAAGGUAAACCUAAACACACGACAUGUAGGGGCACUCCGUCCCCACACACAUCAACCGUCCCCAUCGAUUCCCCGUCAGCAGAUCAGGGCUCACCGCCUUGGCGUACAAUGCCUCACUGACCCCGACUGCCGUCGUGCAGUGACCGCACUUGUACCCACCAUAACCGGAAUGGGAGACCACGUCUCAGGUCGCGUGAGGGGUAAAGUCCACUGCCAGGUUCAAUCAGGUACUAGGCUUACCGAUUACCAUAUUUCUCAGCAUGUGCUUAGUACGUUCAAACGCUUGACACAGGUAUCCGCACGUUAAUCCUUAUUCCAAUUUCCGUCUCGUAGACCACGCGUCCCCAUGGACCCGUGUCCACAGACCAUCAUCAUUCUGUAUCAAAGUGGAUACAACCGAUUCCUGACCUCGCGCGAGUGCUAGAAAAAUCACUCGACUUCUAUCGAGAUCCCUAAUUAGCAAAGCAGCUACUCGACCUAGCAUACUAGUAUCCAUCUCAAAAAGGAAUCCUUAGUUCAUGCAACUAGGGCUUCAACCAACUCCUACACUUAAGUGCACGGUACAAGCCUACAAACAUUAAGUGUAGUAAAAUAGCAUAUAUAAACGGUUAUGCAUAAAACCGGGGCUUGCCUUUAAUUUAACACUUAGAUAGUGUUUGCUGGGGUGGGUACUCGCUUGGCGAGCAUCCACUGGGUAAGUCCACCAUUCUUUAGGUCGUCCACCAACUGCAUCUUGUGGUUGGCACCACAUCACUGGCUCGAUCAUCGUCCCUCGGUCCUAAAUGAGAUGCAAUAUGCAUAUGUAUGAAUAUAAUGAAAUAGAACAAGAUACUUUAAGUACAUGCUAGCGAAUUAAACACUAAGUAGCGAGACAUCACAAACAACCACACCCACUAGCGUUAGCUAACUACAUAUCGUCGAGCGCACAACAUUACACCACUAAAAAGACGACAAACAUUUUGGAUAUUUACGCAACACAAUACUACAUCACAAUUAACUAGAGAAAGAAACGUAUAAAAACAUGACACAUAUGUUAUCUCAAGCUUAGCCAUGGCAAUUCUAUAUGAAUUUAGUGUUAACCAACCAUUUUUAGCCAAAAGGGUGAACUAACAAUUAAUUGAGCACAUGCAGAUUUUUAGGACAGCAGCACAGCAGUUACUAGUUUUAAUCAUAUCUCUUCAAAUAUUCAUCCAAAAAUAGCAAACUAGGAUUUUCUGGAAAGCUUAAAAAGUGAACUAUAACUUUGGUAUUUUCACCUCAACCUGAUUCAACACAUAGCAAGGUCAAAAAGUGCAAUCACAGCAGCUCUGUCCAGAUUUGGACAGAUUCAGACUUGCAACUUCAAAAAUUCACAACUAGAGAUUCAGACAUCCAAAUAAGUUGAUCCUAGACUUUCUGGAAAGGUAAUAAAAUUGUCUACAUAUCAUUUAUAAACAUCUCAAGGUGAUUCAAUAUUUAACUAAGGAUAAACAUCACUAAAAGACUUUGCUGUCCAUAACUGGACAGAUUCAGUCUUCCUAUUUGAAACAUUCAUAACUUAAGCUUCAGACCACCAAAAAUAGUGAUCCAAGACUUUUUGGAAAGCUUGGCAAAAGAACUACAUAACUUUUAUAAUCACCAAGAAGUGAUUCCAGGUUUAAUCAAAUCAAACAUUACAGUUUUCAAAAUCUGUUCAGACAGAGGACAGAACAAAACAACCAGUUUGUAAAUUUCAUAACUCUUAAACCGUCAGUCCUAUGGUUAUGAAAUUUUAACACAAACAAGAUGAGAAAAGCAUCUACAACUUUCUUAUAACGACCAUGAACAGGUUGCAACAUUAAUUUGAGCAAACAAUGCAGUUUCUGAAAUCUGUACAUAAUUCGGACAGAUUCAGUUACUGAAUUUGUGAACAGCAUAACCAACAAGUCGACUUGCAAAUUUUAUUCAAGUCAUUUAGUGCACUAAAAUUACUACAAUCAAUUAACAACACAUUCUUCACGACAAUCACUCAACAAUUUGCGUUUUAAAUUAGACAUCACAUGAGCACUACUACUUUUUAUCCGCGACCAUAAACAUACACAUUUAGACUACAAUAAGAAAAUCAUCGUGAAUACAAGUUUAACCAAGUCAUCUAAAAUUCGGCAAACUAGCGCAACAACAUAGGCCGCUAUACAUCCUACACGUCGGCUUGCCUCUUAUCAUCGCAAUCCGAGACAACACAUAUAUAACAAACACUUAACGAAAUCGACUCCUAUUUAACAUGAGUUGGCUAAUCACAGUAGAAGACCUAGCGAACCAUUUUAGACAUCGUAACUCAAGAACAUGGGUUGGAGCCGAUUGAUCAGUGUUUCUCAACCAUUGCUCAACUUGAAUUAGUUAACACACAAGUCACCUAAAUAGCAUAUUUUUGGGGUCUAUCGUGGAGGCAUUUACACAUGGUGUAAAACUUCAUAAGACUUACAUUGGCUACUAAAGAACCUAAAGCACUUAUGUGCAUAUGUUAUCGAAUUGUUCUUCAAUUUUAUCAAGGACGGACUCAUGAACGCUACUCGCCUCCAAUAAUUAUUGAGCUGCGAUAACGCUCAUAUUAGACCUCCAAUCGAUUAACAAGACAUUUAUUUAUCCAAAGGGAAUGGAAUGCAAUAAUUGACCAAGCAAGGCAUCGAUCCGCCAUACAAUAGAAAGCAUGACGACACCGACAGAUGCUAUCAACCAAUCGUUUUAAAAUAUUAAACUUACUUCUCGCUUGCCAUUACAUCACUCCUAAAUCACACGAUCAUCAUGAGCAUCCUUCACACGAUUAUAUAAUAGCAAUUUAAACGUCAUGUUACACCAUACAUACAUCUUUCCUCGUUGCGAGUAUAACCAUAAUGCGGCAUAUACUCGCACACCUCAACAAAUAUCUUACGCCACCACUACUAUAUCACACCACGGCACACACACACCUACGUGCACUAAUUAAAUCCUCGCAUCCCAUGUAUUUCCAAUUUACCUAUCACAUUAAACAACGCAACAUGUUUGCUUACCAAAACGUGAAGGCAACCUUGCUACGACAUAUAACCAAAACAUUUUAUACCCACACACACUCCAACACCAAUGUACACCAUAUCGAUAAAAAUAUAAUUAUACAAACUACAAAUCGCACACAUCAAACAACACAUCGCAUAAAUUCCUAUCGAAAUAUAAAAACAUUCGAGUUAUUUUCUACUUCUUUUUCUUUCGCCACAAACUUCAAUCCAUACCAAUACAAUUUUUAAACAUGCACCACCUCGACCAAAACAUAAUUAGACAACUGCAAAUCGCAUACAACACAUAACCUUUUGUUCUCCAAUCGCAAACACGAUCCUACCAAUGCGCAUAACCAAAACAUUUUACACACAUCCAUUCAAAUUAAUUAAACGAGUCGAUCGAGAGCGACAUGCAUCGGCUCACCAUAAACAAACUCAAUCGGUGUUUGUAAGGACGAUGGCGAUUCCGACUCGUGCAUCGCUCCGAACAUCGACGAGCGUCGAGCGGCUUGCCUUCUUCUCCAUGCAAAACACGGGAUUCCUCUCCUCCACAAAACAAAAAUAAAACAGCACACAUACACAAUUAAUGAUAUGAAGAUAACGCCGAUGCGGAAUCAAACAAGGAUUGUCGUGGUCUCACCGGGUGAACGACGACGACGACGGGGCUGCGCAAAAACAGCAAACACCUGAUGGGCAUCCCGGCGUGUUGUUCGCUGCGCAACACAAAGCAGCGAGCCGCGCGGCGACAUCGGGGCUGCUGCACAUUUUGCCGAGCACCCAGCAAGCAUCAACGGCGCAGGCGCAGCAACACACACGCAGGAAGGAAACCGAGUCGCAAGGUAUGGAGGGAAUGCUCCACGGCAUCUACUGCAGCGCGCCAUGGGAGAGGGCUGCGUCUGCGAGGAGAGGCGGGGCGAGCUGCUGCUGUGUCCUGCCGUGAGGGGAGAUGGAGCUGAGCUCCCUGUUUGCUGCGCGCCGUGGACAGCAGGGGAGGAAGAAGACCCAGUUGCUGUUGCUGGGCGCCGGCCAUAGUGCUCCCUGCACGCAGGGGGAAAAAAGAAAUAGAGCAGGGAGGGCGCCGAGGCAGAGGGGAAACUGCAGGGGGUGGCGCCAUGGGGAGGAGUGGAGCUCGAGCGCCGGCCAUGGAGGAGAGUAGGGCGUCGGCGUGCUCCCAGGGAGCUCAGCCAUGGACUCGGCUGCCAAGGAAAAGGAGAGAGCAGGGGGCGCCAUGGGAAGCUCCAAGUAGGGGGAAGAAGGGAGAGGGGCGCCAUGGGUGGGAGCUCCGCUAGAGCAGGGGCUCGGCCAUCCUGCGUGGAGGAGGGAGGAAGUUCCCUGCGCUGGCUGCUGCUGCCGUGAGCAGCGAGGAAGAAGGCAGGGAGUAUGGCUGGUGGCGGCUAGGGAAAAAAUGGAGGGUGGGAGUGCAAAAUAGCCCAAGUGCAAGGGAAGGGCACCCCUAUUUAUAGAAGAUGGCUAGGGUUAGGGUUUCCUUAGUGGGCCAAAUGGGCUGGGUUGGGCUGGCCCAAACACGUUAUCGGGCUGCGCUAAUUUAUUUUCCGGAAUAAAAAUGCUCUCGCGGAAUUCGUCGCUACAGAAAAACAGAGCGAAAAGAGUUCGGACGAACGGAAGGUUGAGCGAUUAAUUCGGACGAGAGUUUGACUUGAAUUCGCUCGGAAAUAAUUCCCUACGCGUGGUUCGAAAAUAAAUCGUCCCGAGAUACGACCGGCUUUCAGAUUUAUGAUUGAAAGAGAUGAAUCGCGACAUUUAAAAAUCAUCGCCGAGGUUGAUUUUUAAUUCGGGAUCGAACACAGAGGUAUGAGUCGAGUCGGAUAAGAAUUAAUUAGAGGGCGACGUACUGAGUAUCCCGUUUGAGAAAGCGGAUCCGAAUAAUUUAGUCGAACAUAGAUCAAGGUUCGAAAAAUUAGACUCGGGCUCAGAUCAAAUAACAGUCGUCGAGAGUUUGAUUAAAUGAGCUUCAGAUGAGAUUUAUAAUUCGAGAAUGAUUUAUCGAGUUCGUAUUCGUGUCGAGAAUUAACAGUUUUAACAGGCUCCAAAUUCGGCAUUCGUCGAGAUCGAAUAGCUCCGAACUCGGUGAAGUAUUUACGAUUAACUUGAUGAAAGAAGAUAAAUGUGAUAAGAAGAUAGAAAUUUUUACUGAGCGUCCGAGAUUAGGACAAACCUCCCGACAGAACACAAAACUGACACCUGGGGUGUCACAAAACCCCUCCCCUAGCUGGGCUGAAUCCAGCCCAUGCCGCGGCCGCUCCCCCCCCCUUGCGCCCGUGACUCCCUCCCCUCGGCCCAUUUCCGGUCUGCUCCCGCGCGCGCGCCAGCCCGCCCUGCGCUCUCUCUCUCUCUCUCUCUCUCGAUGACGAACCGAUCCCACCCGCCAGCCGCCCUCUCUCUCCCACGCUCACUCCCACUGGCAGACCGGCCCCAGCUGUCAGCCACUUCGUCGUCCUUCUUCCUCCUCCCCGCGUAUGACCCAUCACGGUCACCUCCGGCCAUCACCUCCGUCCCCUCCUUCGUCUUCUCGCCGCACAGGGAAGUUGGGCACCGCCCCGUCCUCGCCGCAGCGGCUGCGUCCUUGCACGGCACCGCCACCGUGCGGUCUCGUCAUCGCCGCUGUGUGGCAUUAACUCCGGUACGGUGCGCCUCACCGGCACCGCGGAGCUCCGCCGCUCCCCUUCCCUCGGGCGCCUAUAAAAGGGCCGCCCCGAGCUCCUCCUUCCCCGCACCGGCCUCAGCCACCCCUCUCCUCCCUCGUCCGAGCUCAAUUCGUGGAAGAGCCGCCGCCGCCGUCUUCUCCCUCUCCGGUGAGCCUUCCCCUCUCUUCCCCCUCCCCUCUGGAUUGCGUAGCAAGGAAUUAGCUAGGCCUAUCAGCUUCGCCACACCGCCGUGAGUCUGGAACGCCACUCCCCUACCCCAAUCCCCGCCCGGAGCUCACCGGCGGCGACUCCCGCCGCAAAGCUCCUCCACCUCCCCGCGGACAGCCCCAUCCCGGCCCCCUCUAGCCAAAUUGAGCCCACCUCUAGGUUCGCCAGCCCCUCCCCGUGCUAAGGCACCUGCACAUUGUCCAAGAACCGGGCCACCGGCGGCGAAUCGCCGCCGAGCCCACCGGCGGCCGGGUCCUCCCCCGCGGACGGCCGGUUCGUCCCGCCGUCAACCGCUGACGCCGUUCUCUCCCCCUUCCGCUCUCUCUGGCGUGUGGGCCCCGCGGCGACGCUGUCGCUCUCGCGCGCCCGCGCCGUCUCCUGCCUUGGGCCGCAACUGGGCCGGCGCACUCGCGCCCGCGCGCGCUCUGCGCUCGGCUGGGCCAGUUCCCCCCCCACGGCCCACCAAAGGCUUAAUUCCUUUUUCUUUUCUUUCUUCAGCCUUUUUCCCUUUAAUUAGUACUUCUUAAUAUUUUGUGCACAAAAAAUUAUCAAAAAUGAUUUCUAAGGUCACAUGCAAUAAUGAUGUUAGAAAAUGACACACUAUAAUUUGUAAACCACUGUUGAUGUAUUGUUUUAUUGCCUGUUUUCCUAGAAGAAGCGGGGACCGAGGGCCCGGAACCCAUAGCCCCGGAAGAAGGGCCGGAGCUCGAUCACCCGGAGGUAGAUCUUUUGUGCCAGGAAAGCUUCGACGAAGGCAAGUCCAUCCUUCCCUUGAUGCAUAAAUUUCCUAUUCUCUCUACCACUGCCUAGGCCGGGAAUUCAGGGGGAAUAUUGCAUUGUGAGUGAGAGAUGGCCCGCAUUAACAUAUACAUUCUGGACACGAAAUAUGAAUUGGGAAGAAGGGCAAUGUGUUUCUUCAAAAAAAAUCUCUUUUUGAAAAGUUAUGCAAUGAAGGGUACUCACCCUCAUCACCUUGGGAGUGGGAUGAUCAGGGACUCCCUGGUUUAGGGGAGGGCCUAAGGUGUUGGCUCAGCAUGUUUAGGCGUGAGCAGAAGGAUUUUCCCCUCAUAUAAGGAUCGGCUUGUCAUUUUCACUACCUGUACUCCUUUGUCGUACAACCACUUGAGACUGUGUGGGCAGUCACUCAAUCCGAACUCGUGCGGUCCAACCCCAGGGUUAAGAAGGCUGGGGAGCACCGGGAGGAUAAGGAGGGGGAAAGUUUUGUCCGGUUUGGACAUGGUGGUGGCCUGACUCCUUCUGGAUAACCGUUAAGGUUAGGACGUACGAGGAAGGAAAGAGAUCCGGCAUUCGGGUCUCACGACGGUGAGAUCGCAGAAACCGGGCUAGUGGGUAAAGUGUACCCCUCUGCGCAGAGUCGAAAACCUAUUCGAAUAGUCCGUGUCCACUGGUAUGGACGGGUCUGGUAUGGCAUGACAAUUAGAGAUUUCGUUUCUAUAAGUUUCAUGAAAAGGGAAAUGUGUGAUUAAAUGGGUGUUGAGAAAGAAACUAAGGCCACGGGAGCGGGAAGCUCAGUGGUGGUUGAGUUUUGGUUACUUUUAAGACUAUGGGAAAAACCUUUCAGCACUUGCCUUUCUCUAAGAAAAUGAUGAGUGACUUCAGCUCCACCAAAUAAAGCAUGUAUAUUAUAGGUCUCUUUCUCUCUACGGGAGCGGGGUGGGCUUGCGGAAUACCUAGUGUAUUCACCCAGAUUUAUUUAUGUUUUUCAGCAUCCGAAGACUUCUUUUCUGCUAUGCUUGAUUGAGAGGGCUGUGUCUGCACCCAGUUCUGCCUGUGGCUUGGGCUAGUAUAUUUUUCCUACUGCGCUUCCUAUUUUGGCUCUCUAGAGCUUGUACCCCGGUAUUGUAAUAAUUUUUAUCGAAACUCUGUACUAUUUGAAGUAAGGAAUGUGUUUACUAGCCUCCUGGGACUAGUAAUUGUAUCACAUUUGAGUCCCAAAGGAUCGGGACGCUUCAGGUGGUAUCGGAGCCCAUAGGACUGGUCAUAGGUCGCAGCCCUGACCCUAAAACUUGCCCAAAAAAAUACCUCUUUCCCCAAGAAAAGUCUUCUCUCCUCCUCCCCGAUUUUAACAGACCCUUCUUUUCCUAUUCCAGAUGGGAAGACUCUCUGGCCAUUAGGACAUCCUACUGCUCAGAGGUGGAAGGGUUCCCACAUCUGUUGUGAAGCUGUGCGCUUCGCAUGGGAAUCCGCAAGAAGCCGAAAUACGUCUGGACGGAGUAUAUCGAGGGCGGAAUGGAGAAAUGCUCUAUGGCAGUCUACCUGGGAGAAAGCCGAAACUAUCCAAACCAUCCUUCCUUCCAAGUCACUUUUACCGGAUACCGCUUUCCAGAUACUUGCCAGAAUGUUGCCCGAACAGCCCUCCGACAACUAUGCCAGAAUUACAAUAAAGUGAUCUUCGAAACCCCCCUUCGCUACUUUCCACCCAGCAACAAGAAUACCCCCACCUGAAGGAAAAGACUUUAGGCCCUGUCAGGAGGAGAUCCUAUUGAGGAUGAUCCCACCAUCGUCUACAUGGCUGGAUACCUUCACACCCUUGAUAACCAAUAUGAUGACCUCACCCUCCACUGCACCUCCCUAACCUCCCGGGUGGAAAGCCUGGAGCAAAAAGUCAGGGAACUUUCAGGGGAAAAGGCAUCCCUUCAAGAGAGCCUCUCAAUAGCUGAAGGCGAGGAGACCAAUACCCAUGAGGCGUACCGCACCCUAAAGAUGGACUAUGACAAGAAACUGAAGAAGCUCGCCCCCGCAAGAAAAAUCUGCAAGAAGACCAAAAGCCAAGGAUGUCAGACUGAGCAGAAGGAAGAAAACCCUCCAACCCUACCCCCUGCCGGGUUAGGGAACUCGUCCGACACCGAGGAGAUGUCCCUGGCCAGCCUUGAUGACCUUCUCAAGGAAUUUGGGGACACUUUAGAGAAGGAGUUCGGGAGUACCCUAGAUAGCACUCGUGUGUGAUGAACUUAUGGUAGCAGUGUGCUGUAUUGUAAUGGCUUGAUGUAAUGAAUAAAAUAACUAGUUAAAAAAUGGCUUGUGCAUGAUAGUGACUCUCUUCCCAUGGCAGAUGGCUUCGGAUAAAACCACGCCUACCGCCUCCGGGGUUGGAGCAGGAUUUCCUCUAAGAGCUGAAGGAGAGGCUGGCGGAGAAGGGGGUGAGACCCACCUCCCCGCACCUCCGGAACUACCACUAGACCUAGCCCAAGUUCUAGCCAAUCAAACCCGACUCAUUGAAGUCCUCACUAGAAGUCUGGAAAACCAGCGCCCAGGUGGUGGAAGGCCACAGGACAGGAUGGGAGAAUUUUUGAGACUCAAGCCUCCCACGUUCGCGGGGUCUAGCAAUCCCCUCGAUGUAGAUGACUGGUUUCGCACGAUCAAGAGGAAGCUGGAAGCCAUCGGAUGCCCCGAAAAUCAGCGUGUCCAACUGGCAGCUCAUCAGCUUUCAGGAAUGGCUUUAGCAUGGUGGGACACUUUCAGUGAGGCCGUCAGAGAUGCUACCUGGGCAGAAUUCGAAACAGCCUUCCGUGAGCACCAUGUACCCCAGGGGAUAGUUCAACUCAAGGAGGAUGAAUUCCGGGAGUUAACUCGGGGCGGGAGAACAGUCAGUGAGUAUGUGCACAAGUUCACAGAGUUGGCCCGUUACGCGCCUGAGGAUGUCAGCACCGAGUCCAGAAAGAUGGCCCGUUUUCUGAAAGGACUAAGACCCGAGCUUAAGACCAUCCUCGCCAGCCAAGACUUCCUCAGCUUCUCUCACCUCUCCAACAAGGCUAUCCAAGUGGAAAGGGCAAAAGAGGAAGAAAAAGGGCACCUCAAGAGGAAAUUCCAAGUCCUCUGAGAUCAACAGCAAGAACGUCACCAGAGAGCUCGACCCUUUGGACUUCCACCCAGGGGUCCAAGCUUCAAUAAACCAUCUGGACCCACUCCGUCGCGCUACAGUCAGCAGAGUUAGAGCUCCCUUCAGGCACCCUCCGUUGCAAGCAACCAACCGCCAGCAAAUGCCUGUUGGCACUGCGGGGACCCCAGUCACUUUAAGAAUAACUGCCCUCAGUUAAAGGCACCCGGACCGACUUACUCCAACUCGGUGAAUGGCCCCAAGAUUCCCUCGGCACCUACCUCCAAAGCACCUCCUUCCAACAGCCAGCAGAGCAGGACUCAGUACCAGGGCAGAGCCCGAGUCAACCACGUCGACGCUCAAGAAGCCCAGCAAGCCCCGGGGGUAGUGCUCGGUGAGUUCCUUGUUGAAUUUACUCCAGCUACUAUGUUUUUUGAUUCGGGAGCAUCCCAUUCUUUUAUAGCCGCUAAGUUUGUGGAAAAACAUGGCAUCCCCUCUACACCCCUAGCUGUCCCUUUGGUCACCCGAACCCCGGGAUCAGACCUCCUAUGCAAACUCAGGUGCUCCCAAGUCAGAAUUCUUUUAAGUGGGGUAGUGUUUCUGGCAGACUUAACCAUCUUUCCAUCCCAAGGGAUUGAUGUGAUCCUAGGAAUGGAUUGGCUAGCUAAGCACAAAGGUAUCAUCAGCUGCGCAAGCAAGACUAUUCUUCUCACAGAUCACCAAGGAAAGGCAGUUUCCUAUCAAGCCCAGCCGCCCGCAAACGAUCCUAUGAUGUUUAAUCUGGCAGCAGAAAACAUGUCUGUAAUUGAAGAGUUUGAAGAUGUAUUUCCAGAAGAGUUGCCCGGGAUGCCACCAGAAAGAGGAGUGGAGUUCUAUAUAGAUCUCAUUCCUGGCACUGCGCCCAUCACAAAGAGACCAUACCGCAUGGCUCCCACAGAGUUGGCAGAAUUGAAACUUCAGAUUUCAGAAGUGCAGCAAAAAGGGUACAUCCGUCCUAGUUCGUCCCCCUGGGGAGCACCCAUCCUCUUUGUUACUAAAAAGGAUGGGAGUAUGAGAAUGUGUAUUGAUUAUCGGUCCUUGAAUGAAGUUACAAUCAAGAAUAAGUACCCACUCCCUCGGAUCGACGACCUCUUCGACCAGCUGCAAGGAGCCAAAUACUUCUCCAAGAUAGACCUCAGGUCAGGGUAUCACCAACUGAGGAUCAAGGAAGCAGACAUUUAGAAGACUGCAUUCGUCACCAGAUACGGGCAAUAUGAAUUCACAGUGAUGCCAUUUGGGCUAACAAACGCACCCGCCUUUUUCAUGAACCUCAUGAAUAAGGUAUUUAUGGAAGAAUUGGAUAAGUUUGUCGUGGUCUUUAUCGACGACAUCCUCAUCUAUUCCAAGAGUCGCAAGGACCACGAGCGUCACCUCUGAAUCGUUCUCGGAAGACUCAGGGCACAUCAACUUUAUGCUAAACUCAGCAAGUGUGAAUUUUGGUUAGAAAAGAUAGCCUUUCUCGGGCAUAUCUUGACUGCAGAAGGAAUAGAAGUGGACCCAUCCAAGGUAGAAGCCGUUUCAAAAUGGAAACAGCCCUCCAACGUCAGUGAAGUACGAAGCUUUUUGGGAAUGGCAGGGUAUUACCGCCGCUUUAUCAAGGGGUUCUCCAGCAUAGCAAAACCUAUGACCGAACUUCUCAAAAAGGACAAUAAGUUUGUGUGGACUCCCAAAUGUGAGGAAAGUUUCCAGAUCAUCAAGGAAAAGCUUACAACUGCGCUAGUGUUGACACUGCCAGAUAUACACCAGGAUUUCGUCAUCUUCUGUGAUGCUUCAAGGCAAGGCUUAUGGUGUGUCUUGAUGCAAAAUGAGAAAGUUAUUGCCUAUGCAUCCUGCCUACUCAAGCCACACGAGCAGAACUACCCUACCCACGACUUGGAAUUGGCAGCCAUCGUGCACGCCCUAAAGAUAUGGAGGCAUUAUCUGAUCGGGAACAAAUGCCACAUCUUCACUGAUCACAAGAGUCUGAAGUACAUCUUCACGCAACCGGACCUCAACCUCCGUCAAAUAAGAUGGCUUGAAUUGAUCAAGGAUUAUGACCUCGAAAUCCACUACCACCCCGGGAAGGCCAACGUGGUAGCAGACGCCCUCAGCCGAAAACCUUUCGGGAUUAAAGGAACCAACUUUCUGGAAGAUCGGAAGAAAGAAUCAGCUCAGCUAAAUGCAUUUCUGGGAGACAACGGUAGCCUGGAAGUCAAGCCAAAUCUAGAAGAUCUCAUAUGCAAGGCUCAAUGCCUGGACGUAGAGACAGCCAGACUUAUAGAAAGAGCUCGCAAGGAGCAACUUCCGGACCUUAGGACAUAUGAGCAAGGAGUCCUCUGGUUCAAGAACCGCCUGUGUGUACCAGUGGGAGAGGCACGGGAAGUCCUGCUCAAUGAAGCCCACAACUCAGCUUACUCCAUCCACCCAGGAACCACCAAGAUGUACCUGGACCUCAAAGCCAGAUACUGGUGGAAAGGGAUGAAGAAGGAAAUAGCACAGUAUGUGGCCCGGUGUGACACCUGUCAGCGAACAAAGGCCGAGCAUCAGAAGCCUGCGGGCCUACUUCAACCCCUCCCAGUACCCGAAUGGAAGUGGGAAGAAAUAGGCAUGGAUUUCGUGACCGGACUGCCCCGAACACAGAAAGGAAAUGAUUCCAUAUGGGUAAUAAUCGAUCGUCUCACCAAGGUGGCCCACUUCGUUCCAGUAAAGACCACUUUUGGAGGGGUCGCCCUUGCCCGAAUAUACCUUAAAGAGAUAGUCAGGCUCCAUGGCAUUCCGCAGAAGAUAGUAUCAGAUAGAGGAACGCAGUUCACUUCAAAAUUUUGGAAGGGCCUCCAGCAAGCAAUGGGCACCAAGCUAGAUUUCAGCACCGCUUACCACCCCCAGUCGGAUGGUCAAACGGAAAGAGUCAACAAGGUCAUCUAAGAUUUGCUAAGAGCCUGUGUGCUAACAUUCGGCAGGGAUUGGGAGUCCAGUUUACCGUACGCAGAAUUCUCGUACAACAACUGCCAUCAGGCCAGCAUCAAAAUGUCACCAUUCGAAGCACUGUACGGAUGAAAAUGCCAAACUCCCCUAAUGUGGUCCAAUGUAGGGGAAAGGACACUGGAAGGACCCGACUUUGUUAAAGAAGCCGAAGAGAAAGUCACUUUGAUCCGCAGGAGGUUACUUGAAGCUCAGAGUCGACAGAAGAGCUACGCAGACAAUAGACGAAGGGAACUCAGAUUUGAGGAAGGAGAUUUCGUUUAUCUCAAGGUCUCCCCGAUGCGUGGUGUCAAAAGGUUCCAAAUGAAAGGAAAGCUAGCACCACGUUUUGUCGGUCCCUACCCCGUCAUUGCCCGAAUAGGACCCGCAACAUACCGUCUUGAGCUACCAGAAUCCAUGUCAGAUAUUCACAAUGUGUCCCAUGUGUCUCAACUCCGCAAAUGCCUAAAGGUACCAGAAAACCACAUCGAGGCAGAUGCAAUUCAGAUUCAAAAGGAUCUCCAGUACCGGGAAAAGCCAGUGAAGAUUCUCGACUCAGCAGUCAGAAGGACCCGCAACUCAGAAGUGAAACUCUGUAAGGUUCAGUGGAGCAGAGAUGGAGAAGAGGAAGCCACCUGGGAAAGUGAGGACUCUCUAAGGAAGGAAUACCCUUACCUUUUCCCGAGCCCCGUCUGAAUCUCGAGGGCGAGAUUCCUUUAAGUGGGGUAGGUUUGUAACAUCCCAAAAUCCUAACCUAGGUUUGAAACCCUAAACUACCCCUCUCCCCUUUUCAUCCUCUAAUUCCAAGAACUCCCUUAGAUUUUCUUUCAUCAUAUGCAUACACUUUGUUUGAUCACAAGCACCUCACUUAGAUUUUAUUUUUCAGCACCUAAGAUUAUCUAUUAAAAUUUAUUGUUCAAAAGAAAAAGAUAUAAAAAUGGAUAAAGAAAUUAGAAAAUAAAAAGAAAAAGAGAAAACCCCUCCCCUAGCUGGGCUGAAUCCAGCCCAUGCCGCGGCCGCUUCCCCCAACCCCCUCGCGCCCGCGACUCCCUCCCCUCGGCCCAUUUCCGGCCUGCUCCCGCGCGCGCGCCAGCCCGCCCUGCGCUCUCUCUCUCUCGCUGACGAACCGACCCCACCCGCCAGCCGCCCUCUCUCUCGCACGCUCACUCCCACUGGCAGACCGGCCCCAGCUAUCAGCCACUUCGUCGUCCUUCUUCCUCCUCCCCGCGUACGGCCCAUCACGGUCACCUCCGGCCAUCACCUCCGUCCCCUCCUCCGUCUUCUCGCCGCACAGGGAAGUUGGGCACCGCCCCGUUCUCGCCGCAGCGGCCGCGUCCUUGCACGGCACAGCCACCGUGCAGUCUCGUCAUCGCCGCUGUGCGGCAUUAACUCCGGUACGGUGCGCCUCACCGACACCGCGGAGCUCCGCCGCUCCCCUUCCCUCGGGCACCUAUAAAAGGGCCGCCCUGAGCUCCUCCUUCCCUGCACCGGCCUCAGCCACCCCUCUCCUCCCUCGUCCGAGCUCAAUUUGUGGAAGAGCCGCCGCCGCCGUCUUCUCCCUCUCCGGUGAGCCUUCCCCUCUCUUCCCCCUCCCCCUCUGGAUUGCGUAGCAAGGAAUUAGCUAGGCCUAUCAGCUUCGCCACACCGCCGUGAGUUUGGAACGCCACUCCCCUACCCCAAUCCCCGCCCGGAGCUCACCGGCGGCGACUCCCGCCGCAAAGCUCCUCCACCUCCCCGCGGACAGUCCCCUCCCGGCCCCCUCUAGCCAAAUUGAGCCCACCUCUAGGUUCGCCAGCCCCUCCCCGUGCUAAGGCACCUGCACAUUGUCCAAGAACCGGGCCACCGGCGGCGAAUCGCCGCCGAGCCCACCGGCGGCCGGGUCCUCCGCCGCGGACGGCCGGUUCGUCCCGCCGUCAACCGCUGAUGCCGUUCUCUCCCCCUUCCGCUCUCUCUGGCGUGUGGGCCCCGCGGCGACGCCGUCUCCCUCGCGCGCCCGCGCCGUCUCCUGCCUUGGGCCGCAACUGGGCCGGCGCACUCGCGCCCGCGCGCGCUCUGCGCUCGGCUGGGCUAGUCCCCCCCCCACGACCCACCAAAGGCUUAAUUCCUUUUUAUUUUCUUUCUUCAGCCUUUUUCCCUUUAAUUAGUACUUCUCAAUAUUUUGUGCACCAAAAAUUAUCAAAAAUGAUUUCUAAGGUCACAUGCAAUAAUGAUGUUAGAAAAUGACACACUAUAAUUUGUAAACCACUGUUGAUGUAUUGUUUUAUUGCCUGUUUUCCUAGAAGAAGCGGGGACCGAGGGCCCGAAACCCAUAGCCCCGAAAGAAGGGCAGGAGCUCGAUCACCCGGAGGUAGAUCUUUUGUGCCAGGAAAGCUUCGACGAAGGCAAGUCCAUCCUUCCCUUGAUGCAUAAAUUUCCUAUUCUCUCUACCACUGCCUAGGCCGGGAAUUCAGGGGGAAUAUUGCAUUGUGAGUGAGAGAUGGCCCGCAUUAACAUAUACAUUCUGGACACGAAAUAUGGAUUGGGAAGAAGGGCAAUGUGUUUCUUCAAAAAAAUCUCUUUUUGAAAAGUUAUGCGAUGAAGGGUACUCACCCUCAUCACCUUGGGAGUGGGAUGAUCAGGGACUCCCUGGUUUAGGGGAGGGCCUAAGGUGUUGGCUCAGCUGGUUUAGGCGUGAGCAGAAGGAUUUUCCCCUCAUAUAAGGACCGGCUUGUCAUUUUCACUACCUGUACUCCUUUGGCGUACAACCACUUGAGACUGUGUGGGCAGUCACUCAAUCCGAACUCGUGCGGUCCAACCCUAGGGUUAAGAAGGCUGGGGAGCACCGGGAGGAUAAGGAGGGGGAAAGUUUUGUCCGGUUUGGACAUAGUGGUGGCCUGACUCCUUCCGGAUAAUUGUUAAUGUUAGGACGUACGAGGAAGGAAAGAGAUCCGGCAUUCGGGUCUCGCGACGGUGAGAUCGCAGAAACCGGGCUAGUGGGUAAAGUGUACCCCUCUGCGCAGAGUCAAAAACCUAUUCGAAUAGUCUGUGUCCACUGGUAUGGACGGGUCUGGUAUGGCAUGACAAUUAGAGAUUUCGUUUCUUUGAGUUUCAUGAAAAGGGAAAUGUGUGAUUAAAUGGGUGUUGUGAAAGAAACUAAGGCCACAGGAGCGGGAAGCUCAGUGGUGGUUGAGUUUUGGUUACUUUUAAGACUAUGGGAAAAACCUUUCAGCACUUGCCUUUCUCUAAGAAAAUGAUGAGUGACUUCAGCUCCACCAAAUAAAGCAUGUAUAUUAUAGGUCUCUUUCUCUCUACGGGAGCGGGGUGGGCUUGCGGAAUACCUAGUGUAUUCACCCAGAUUUAUUUAUGUUUUUCAGCAGCCGAAGACUUCUUUUCUGCUAUGCUUGAUUGAGAGGGCUGUGUCUGCACCCAGUUCUGCCUGUGGCUUGGGCUAGUAUAUUUUUCCUACUGCGCUUCCUAUUUUGGCUCUCUAGAGCUUGUACCCCGGUAUUGUAAUAAUUUUUAUCGAAACUCUUUACUAUUUGAAGUAAGGAAUGUGUUUACUAGCCUCCUGGGACUAGUAAUUGUAUCACAUUUGAGUCCCAAAGGAUCGGAACGCUUCAUUAGGCUCCGAGCAACCCUAAUUUGUUGGGCCUCGGCCAACCCCACCUGGGCUGGGUGUAUCAUCUGGUAUUAGAGCUAGGGCCCAUUUUAAGAAGGUGGGAAUGAUGAGGAC